RNAcentral lists this ribosomal RNA (254 nucleotides) under uncultured bacterium. RNAcentral describes it as "partial 16S ribosomal RNA". It matches the Rfam family "Bacterial small subunit ribosomal RNA", at positions 524 to 776 of the family's 1533-position model. The record is from RNAcentral.
GACGUAGGGCGCGAGCGUUGUCCGGAUUUAUUGGGCGUAAAGAGCUCGUAGGCGGUGUGUCGCGUCGGCCGUGAAAACCUGCAGCUUAACUGUGGGCUUGCGGUCGAUACGGGCAUCACUGGAGUUCGGCAGGGGAGACUGGAAUUCCUGGUGUAGCGGUGAAAUGCGCAGAUAUCAGGAGGAACACCGAUGGCGAAGGCAGGUCUCUGGGCUGACACUGACGCUCAUGCACGAAAGCGUGGGGAGCAAACAGG